GGCUGGUCUGAAGGUAGUGAGUUAUCUCACGUGAUUGUCAUAGUCAGUUACAGAUUGAACUCCUUGUUCUACAACUUUCCCCUGUCCUCACUACUGCACUUGACUAGUCUAAA
This 113-nucleotide Y RNA is filed under the name Microcebus murinus (gray mouse lemur). Its description in RNAcentral is "Y RNA (ENSMICG00000042385.1)". It matches the Rfam family "Y RNA". From Rfam's summary of the family: Y RNAs are components of the Ro ribonucleoprotein particle (Ro RNP), in association with Ro60 and La proteins. The record is from Rfam by way of RNAcentral. Lineage: Eukaryota; Metazoa; Chordata; Mammalia; Primates; Cheirogaleidae.